Long non-coding RNA from Ictalurus punctatus (channel catfish), 1762 nucleotides. The record is from Ensembl. Lineage: Eukaryota; Metazoa; Chordata; Actinopteri; Siluriformes; Ictaluridae.
AUACACACUUCAUCAGCUUAUCCUGGCUCUUCAAUAAAUACAAGAAGUGCUUCAACUGAUAAUGCAAAGCAAUGAAAAUGUGUACCAUUCGUCAGCGUCUUUACGCCACGCCGGUCGUUCGUCGGCGUCUUUACAGUAAAGGUUGUCGUUCGUCGGCGUCUUUACAGUAAAGGUUGUCGUUCGUCGGCGUCUUUACAGUAAAGGUUGUCGUUCGUCGGCGUCUUUACAGUAAGGUUGUCGUUCGUCGGCGUCUUUACAGUAAAGGCUGCCGUUCGUCGGCGUCUUUACAGUAAGGCUGUCGUUCGUCGGCGUCUUUACAGUAAGGCUGCCGUUCGUCGGCGUCUUUACAGUAAGGCUGCCUUUCGUCGGCGUAUUUACAGUAAGGUUGUCGUUCGUCGGCGUCUUUACAGUAAAGGCUGUCGUUCGUCGGCGUCUUUACAGUAAAGGUUGUCGUUCGUCGGCGUCUUUACAGUAAGGCUGUCGUUCGUCGGCGUCUUUACAGUAAGGCUGUCGUUCGUCGGCGUCUUUACAGUAAAGGCUGUCGUUCGUCGGCGUCUUUACAGUAAAGGCUGUCGUUCGUCGGCGUCUUUACAGUAAAGGUUGUCGUUCGUCGGCGUCUUUACAGUAAAGGUUGUCGUUCGUCGGCGUCUUUACAGUAAAGGUUGUCGUUCGUCGGCGUCUUUACAGUAAAGGUUGUCGUUCGUCGGCGUCUUUACAGUAAAGGUUGUCGUUCAUCGGCGUCUUUACAGUAAAGGUUGUCGUUCGUCAGUGUCUUUACAGGAAGCUGGACAUUUGUCAGCGUUUUUAACAUUGCGCUAAUCAUUUGUUAGUGUUUUUUUCAGAACAGUUAAUGUGCUACUUCAGAAUGUGUGAAAUCAUUCACUUUCUGUAGAAAUCUCUGGUGAAAUGCUAGAACAUACAAAAUGAACAGUGGUAGUCCAUAUCUGGCUUCAUAUGUAUGCAAAUUACACUGGAACUAUCUUGGAGCUAACAUAACACUGGUUAGCUGUUAGCACAAAACAGGUUUGCUUGUGCAAACAGACGUAGGCUGCCUUCAAAUCCUAUCGGAAAUCUCUUCCUGAGUGUGCAGAGAGCUCUGUGUCUCCGAACGCCGUGCAUGCACGAUACUGCUCAUCCUAAGCACACAGUAGCCCAAGAGCUCAACUAUACUGAAUAAAACAUUGAACACAAUAUAUUUUGUCACCAUGUUACACAUUUAAUACAUCUGUUACUAACAGACUCGUAGUAUACUUUUCCAGAUUAACAAAGUAAUAAUGGAACAAUUUAUCAAUUAUACAAAUAGUAGUUAGUUGCGGCACUGAUGAAAAUAAAUAAUUUGCAGGAAUGAUCGUGAUCGGAAGCUUUUUUUGGUCCGACUACACAACCGUUCGUUCUGGUCUACUAAUCUGACUGGACUAGAGGUGUUCCAAGAGUGCUGAUGUUUAGAACAACAGUCCUGCUACAGUACGUUUCACUGUUUGUCUGUGUUCACUACAUAAAAUUCCAGCUCUAGCAAUAGUUCACUGCAUUGAAACCGUUACUACACUUUCUAUGCGCUGUCAAUCAGUCUGUGUGGUGGCAUGGCAACGCCCAACACACUACCCCAGCUUUGGCUUCUUUGGGAAUUAUUUUGACGGAGCACAGAAAAACUAAAUAUUUGGCCAUAUUGUUAAUAUUAACUUGAAUUACUUGAUAUUAAUUUCUUGUUUAUAGAACUGUUGUAUAAAAGCAAUAUCACAAGACUCCAUUACUAAAGAAAAGG